RNAcentral lists this transfer RNA (75 nucleotides) under Macropinna microstoma (barreleye). RNAcentral describes it as "tRNA-Leu (UUR)". The record is from RNAcentral. Lineage: Eukaryota; Metazoa; Chordata; Actinopteri; Argentiniformes; Opisthoproctidae.
GCUAAGGUGGCAGAGCCCGGUAAUUGCAAAAGGCCUAAGCCCUUUCACUCAGAGGUUCAACCCCUCUCCUUAGUU